UCCGUGGUCCUUUUUAAAGUGAGAAAAAAACACGAAAACACACACUCGAACAGGCGCUCCUCUCUCCCUGGCCUCCGAUCCCAGCCGCCAGGAGGCGCCCCGCGCGAUGCUCGAUCCGGUCCCACGCCAGUCAUCCGGCGCGACGUCGAUGGAUCUGGCGGCGGGAGCAGCGUCUUGCUCCGGUGGCGACGGCACCCUGCUGAUCCAGAGAAGAAAGAGACAGGGCGUGAGGGAGAGAGGAAAGAGAGGAGGAAAGGAGAAGGAGAAGGGGGCACAAGGUGAGGGAGGCAGUCGGUGGGGGUGGCUUGGACCGGCUCAGCAAGGAGAUCUUCUCCAUCCUCGAGUCCAACUUCGUCCGCAGGCGCUGGAGCCGACAGGGGCGUGCUCAGCCGGGCGUGUGCGCGUGCUCUCCAUCGACGGGGGACGCUCGCCGCGGCCGUGCUGGUCAGGCUCGAGCACCGCUGCAGGAGCUGUCCGGGAACCCCGAGGCCCGCGUCGCGGACUACUUCGACAUGGCGGCAGAGUCCGGCGCCAGCGGGUUCUUGGCGGCCGCGCUGUUCGCUCGACGAAAGAAUAAAAAUAAUACGAAGACCAAAUACAACGACGUAUUUGCCUUAUGGCAAAGAAGCCGGCAGCAGUUGGUGGCGCGAUGGACGCUGCGUGGCUGUAUGAGCACACACCAGGCAGCAGGCUCUAGCCGCGGCAGCAGGAAAACGGACGGCAACAUCCUGUCAUACAUGCAGGAUUCUGCAUUUGGAUAAAAGGAGUCCGGUAGAUGUCAACAAAGGAGUGAAAUAAGCAUCUGUACUCUCCUUAUUUUUGUGCAAAUGAAAGGCUUGCGGAGACUAUAUUUCCGUGGCCUAAUGGAACGGAAUCUGAUAAAUCGAUCUUGGUUACCAAUCUGUCCUAUGUAAUUAAUGAAGGACAUGGCAUUGGCAGGAGCUAGCCUACGCACAGUGUGCACGGUGAGCAAAUCCCUCUGUUUCUCAGCUACCAAAUAUUUCUUCUUUUGCUACUGAGUGAAUCAUCAGUUUUGUUUUGUUAUGGCUACAAGCACUCCUGGCAUCAGAAGAUGGCUAUAUUGGCGAAAAAGACUGGUGGUCUGUGUUUCACUUUUGGACAUCUAUGAGGAGUUUGCGGAACCAACGUGCUAGAAUGUGAUGGUCAAACUCAUCGCCUGUGAUUCAUGCUCGUCGUGAAAGGUGGACAAUGUGACCACGAGUGGCAACGAGUGCGAUAACCCGGGUGGGUUGCUUGGACCAUGCGAGGAUUUGUUUUCCCCGUUGCAACGCACGGGCAUAUGUGCUAGACGAUGACUAAUAAUAAUCUAUCCCUAAUUUUUUAAUAAUAAAAUACGGAUUGACUCCAUGAGUUUACUGUCACAAUACGCUUUUAUCCAAUC
Molecule: long non-coding RNA, 1402 nt
Organism: Triticum dicoccoides
Lineage: Eukaryota; Viridiplantae; Streptophyta; Magnoliopsida; Poales; Poaceae
Exons: 3
Source: RefSeq, a predicted model, not a curated record